RNAcentral lists this ribosomal RNA (253 nucleotides) under uncultured bacterium. RNAcentral describes it as "partial 16S ribosomal RNA". It matches the Rfam family "Bacterial small subunit ribosomal RNA", at positions 524 to 776 of the family's 1533-position model. The record is from RNAcentral.
UACAGGGGGUGCAAACGUUGCUCGGAAUCAUUGGGCGUAAAGCGCACGUAGGCGGUUUGUUAUGUCGGAUGUGAAAGCCCUUGGCUCAACUAAGGAAGUGCAUCCGAAACUGGCAAGCUAGAGUACUAAAGAGGGUCGCGGAAUUCCCGGUGUAGAGGUGAAAUUCGUAGAUAUCGGGAGGAACACCGGUGGCGAAGGCGGCGACCUGGGUAGAUACUGACGCUGAGGUGCGAAAGCGUGGGGAGCAAACAGG